CAGCCGCCACGGUAACACCGAGGGUGCGAGCGUUAAUCGGAUUUACUGGGCGUAAAGCGUGCGUAGGCGGCUAAUUGAGUCGGAUGUGAAAUCCCCGAGCUUAACUUGGGAAUUGCAUUCGAUACUGGUUAGCUAGAGUGUGGGAGAGGAUGGUAGAAUUCCAGGUGUAGCGGUGAAAUGCGUAGAGAUCUGGAGGAAUACCGAUGGCGAAGGCAGCCAUCUGGCCUAACACUGACGCUGAGGUACGAAAGCAUGGGGAGCAAACAGGAUUAGAUACCCCCGUAGUCCCUGUCUCUUAUAC
RNAcentral lists this ribosomal RNA (301 nucleotides) under uncultured bacterium. RNAcentral's name for it is "partial 16S ribosomal RNA". It matches the Rfam family "Bacterial small subunit ribosomal RNA", at positions 509 to 807 of the family's 1533-position model. The record is from RNAcentral.